RNAcentral lists this ribosomal RNA (433 nucleotides) under uncultured bacterium. RNAcentral's name for it is "partial 16S ribosomal RNA". It matches the Rfam family "Bacterial small subunit ribosomal RNA", at positions 29 to 507 of the family's 1533-position model. The record is from RNAcentral.
AACGAACGCUGGCGGCAUGCCUAACACAUGCAAGUCGAACGAGACCUUCGGGUCUAGUGGCGCACGGGUGCGUAACGCGUGGGAACCUUCCCUUAGGUUCGGAAUAACUCCCCGAAAGGGGUGCUAAUACCGGAUAAUGUCUUCGGACCAAAGAUUUAUCGCCUUUGGAUGGGCCCGCGUUGGAUUAGCUAGUUGGUAGGGUAAAAGCCUACCAAGGCGACGAUCCAUAGCUGGUCUGAGAGGAUGAUCAGCCACACUGGGACUGAGACACGGCCCAGACUCCUACGGGAGGCAGCAGUGGGGAAUAUUGGAAAAUGGGCGAAAGCCUGAUCCAGCAAUGACGCGUGAGUGAUGAAGGCCUUAGGGUUGUAAAGCUCUUUUACCCGGGAUGAUAAUGACAGUACCGGGAGAAUAAGCUCCGGCUAACUCCGUG